RNAcentral lists this ribosomal RNA (577 nucleotides) under Coenosia obscuricula. RNAcentral's name for it is "partial 12S ribosomal RNA". The stretch from base 385 to 455 matches the Rfam family "tRNA". Lineage: Eukaryota; Metazoa; Arthropoda; Insecta; Diptera; Muscidae. The record is from RNAcentral.
UAAAAAAUUUGGCGGUAUUUUAGUCUAUUCAGAGGAACCUGUUCUGUAAUCGAUAUUCCACGAUGGACCUCACUUAAAUUUGUUUAUCAGUUUAUAUACCGUCGUUAUUAGAAUAUUUUAUAAGAAUGUUAAUUUUCAUAAUUUUAAAAAAGAAAAUAUAUCAGAUCAAGGUGUAGCUUAUAUUUAAGUAGAAAUGGGUUACAAUAAAAUUAUUUAAAUGAAUGUAAAUUUGAAAUAUUUAUUGAAAGUGGAUUUGAUAGUAAAAUUAUAAAGAUUAUUAAUUUGAUUUUAGCUCUAAAAUAUGUACACAUCGCCCGUCACUCUUAUUAUUAAGGUAAGAUAAGUCGUAACAUAGUAGAUGUACUGGAAAGUGUCUCUAGAAUUCAAUUUAAAGCUUAAUAGUAAAGUAUUUCAUUUACAUUGAAAGGAUUUUUGUGCAAAUCAAUAUAAAUUGAUUAGUUUUUAUUUAUUAAUUUUUUUUUUGAAUAAAAUUAAUUAUUAAAAAUAAUUAUAAAUUUUAAUGUUUUAGUAUUUUAUAAAGAAAAAAUAAUUUUAAUAAUAGUUAAAUAGUAUUGUA